AGCCAUUUGUAAUUAAAAACAGCAAACACACAAAACAGCAAACAAGUUAAAAAUUAGCAAAAACAGUGAGCUGUAAUGAAACUGCCGAAGUGAACUUAAGGCUGAAAAAGAUAUCACUCUCAAAGAAAUAAUGUUCUUGCUCCAAUCUGAUCUUGAGGCCUUGGAAUCCUCAAAUGAAAUAUGUCAAAGCAAGCACACCAAUCUUAAGAGCAAACCACCACAAAACCAAAGAAACAAUAAAGACAAACAAG
Molecule: long non-coding RNA, 251 nt
Filed under: Phaseolus vulgaris (common bean)
Lineage: Eukaryota; Viridiplantae; Streptophyta; Magnoliopsida; Fabales; Fabaceae
Description: long non-coding RNA (PVUL_LNC001776)
Source: RNAcentral